AUGAUACAUAAAAUACUCUCUACUCUCAUGUAUGACUAAAAAGAACAAAUUUUUGAAAAGAAGAAUUAUACUGCAUUUGCUGCUGCCUCCUUGUUCUUCCAAAUUCAUUCCAUCCAAGCCUCUAACCUAUUGGAUGGUGCUGCCCACGCUUAGGGAGGGUCUCCACUCUAGUUCACUAUCCCACUUGCCAUCGUUCCUACACACACCCUCACUGACAUAUCCAGAAGCCUCUUCAUCUUAGGCAUCUCAAUCCAAUCCCGCUGACAAUUCAAAUUAACCAUUAUGGUAAGUUGACCUUACUGAUUACAUUUAAAUGUCACUUAGUUUUUACUUUAUUUUAACGGUUACUAUAUUAUUAAUCAAUUGUAACAAAGGUACUACAGGAUGCGUGAUACUGAGCGUAGGGAAAACUUUCAGGGAAAGAGAGCUAGAUGAGAACUCUGUAGUUUUUGCCCAAUUUUCUAUAAAAUUAAAACUCAAAAGCACAAAAUGUAUUCGUUAAAGGAAUAAUAGCUCAACAGUGAAAAGAGGGCUUUUGCUCAUUCGGCAGGCUUUGUACAACCACACCAUGAGUCAGCUGGGUGGGAGGAGGGGAAAGCCAGCCAGCCUGGCCCUGGAGACUUCAUGUCUCCUGUGCCCUGGUCCCUGGGGCUGAGCUUCCCUGCCUCCUGUCCAGGGAGCUGCAUUGCAGUGGCUCUGGCUGGACAAUCUCUCUAAGGCUAUAACCAGAGGUCAUUUUCCAGGGUCAAGUUUCCAUCCACAAGGACCACCCUGUGCACAGCUCGAUCCCCUCCCCAAGCCGGUCCCCGGAGGGGAGGGCUGGUGUGUGGCUGGCCCCUGCAGAUGCAGGGAGCUCAGCUGGGGCUGUGGGCAGGUUCUGAAAGGUGCCCUUGUUCAAGACACUCUACGUCUAUCUGACAGAAAAUUGUCACAACACUCCGAGUGUUUUAGACAAAACACUUCCAUGUAGAUGAACACAAAUGUGCAAAGUCCGGGCCCGAAGGCAUCUCCCAGAUGUGGGUGCCUCCCCAUAGACAUUGACGGGUCAGGUCAGGUCAUCGGAAGCCUCAGCGUCCACGCCCACACACCCCAUCCUUGAGAGCCAGAGACAUCUCAGGGGAUGUUCCAAAUCCCUGCAGGCAGACUAUCUCCAGCCCUCUGUUUCUUAGGGUAGUAGGGAACUAGUGGGCUUUCCCCCUCAUUCUGUACCUUCCUAUUGGUUAAUUGGAAAUGGUUCUGUCUGAAUGGGAAGGUUCUCUGUCCUGGGGUCCUUGAACAGAGAAGUCUCAGAGCACAAUCCUGAGCCGUCAGGGUACAGAGAACCUCCCACCACCUUCCCAGGAUUAACUGGCCACUUGGGUCCUGAGAAUUUCCAGUGCCCCAUAUUUAGGGGGCUUUUGUUGUAUUAAAAAUGACAACUGCAUUCAAGAUGAGAGGUGCUAUUCAAAGAAAAGAUAAGUAGUCUCUACUGAGAGCUUUCAUUGUUUUGAGAAUAAUGCACCUCAAAAUGCUAAGCCACCAAGUGUGUAUGGGGGCUGGGAAGGGAGUACUCUUCCCACUUGAUUAGCUGAAAAAGAUCGUAAAGAGGCUUUCGUUUUUCAUAGAAAAUUUGCCAUACACAACCCCCCCAAUUUUCGCUUAGUAAUAAACCCAUCCUUCCUGCCAAGGACAGACUCUGAGGGCCACUUUGCUUGGCCUCCCAUCUAUCUCAUCCCAUGAUAGGCACUCUCCAGCACAGACCCUGGCACUGGAGCUGCAGAGGAAGGAGCCUGCCUCGCUGAGUCACUGCCUGGAGGAGGAUGACCUAGCUCAACAACCUCCUUGGACCUGAAAUGGAUAAGAAAUAACCUUUGAUUUUGUUGAGUCACUGAAAUCUCGGGUUGUUUACAACAACUGGAAUGAAUUAUUUUGUACCAUGGAUAUUGGUAUUCUGACACAGGUUUCUGCUGUGGCCAUUUUCUUAGCAUUUGGGCAAGAGGUGGGGAGGACAGCAUGCUGCGUCAUCUAUGACACUGUGUUGAAACGGUUAGCAGAUGGUCACCUGCAGAGACUUGGGGAGCACACAUCAUUGCUACAGGAUCAUGAGGGCAUCAUCGCAAAAUGGAUUUUUAGGAGUGUGUUUUAACUGGAAUUGAUAAUGUUCAGAAUUGUGAGAGACAAAUGAAAGAAAUAAGCUCAGGAAAUGAUUAGCCCUGGGCUUGAGCAGCAUGCUGUGACUCGGCAGGGGCCUGUGUUCUCUUCCUUGGAGAAAAGGUGAGCAGUUUCAGGAUAUCCGAAGAAAAACAAAGCAACAUGGUGACCAAAAGGGUGGCCAGCCGCUGAAAUACUUUUAUGCCUACAUGAAUGGUUUCAUUUUUCUCCUGGGAUCCAGGAGAUUCCAUUUCCCAGCUCUGUGGCAUGUGGGUAAGCCAGGUGAUUGGUUUUGACCCACAUUCUAGGGUUAGAAGUCACAGGAUCUUGUAAUGGCUUGUGGCAUAAAAUACUGUCCUCGUGCUUCCUCAGUGAACUUAGAAGACAUGGUUACGGAUGGCAGUGUCCAGAGAUGGAAAGACCUGGACCCCUGAAUCAGCACGUGGAGGAGAGCUUCCCAGGAGUACCACCCAACUACGGCAUCCAGGGAGACUGCUCCAGCUGCCCUGCUCAGGUCCUCAGAUGUCCAGAGAGGAGAGCCAGGACCAACCGGUGUUCAUGCCAGUAAAUGGCCGGGUUUCUCCAAGGUGUCCUACCACCAUGGACAGCGCCCCUGGGUCUUCCACCAGGCCCUGCACCUGGUCCAGUGAAGCAGCACUACACAAGACAGCUUCCAAAAUCAAGUUCAAGUUUGUAUGUGACGAGGUUUAAAAGUAGACCACUCAGCCGCGCAUGACCUGAAUGUGAUGAGGAGACAUGAAAGCGUGUGUUGAAGUUCACACGCCCGUCUCUGUGGCCAGCAUUCCCCUGUGCACGUGGCCAGCUCACCAGCUCCGCGAGGAGGGCACCUGGGAUGGAGGAGUGAGGUGGGCUCAGGGCUCAGGAGCAGGCAGCCAGCAGGGGCCCCAGGCUGCAGGGUGGCAGGAGGCUGGCUUUGGGCCCAGGUUGGGCUGAAAUCUCGAGAAGAGUCCCAGGUUUGAUUCCCACUGUUUCUGCUUGUGAUGAGAGAGUCACUGAGGACCAGAAGCACUGGGCUCCGGGGCCACGGCAGAACACGGCGUGCUGUCCUAGAACCACUUGACUUGGCACUGCGUUCCUUUACUUUCAUUUUAGCUUUUUGAAAAAUAAGAUGCUUCUUGCUGGGCGCAGUGGCACACGCCUGUAAUCCCAGUGGCUCAGGAGGCCCAUACAGCAGGAUCACGAGUUCAA
This is a non-coding RNA of Ictidomys tridecemlineatus (thirteen-lined ground squirrel), 3339 nucleotides long. Lineage: Eukaryota; Metazoa; Chordata; Mammalia; Rodentia; Sciuridae. The record is from RefSeq and is a predicted model, not a curated record.